Molecule: ribosomal RNA, 776 nt
Filed under: uncultured Neocallimastigales
Lineage: Eukaryota; Fungi; Neocallimastigomycota; Neocallimastigomycetes; Neocallimastigales
Description: partial large subunit ribosomal RNA
Rfam family: Eukaryotic large subunit ribosomal RNA
Source: RNAcentral
AGAGAGAGACAUGCGCGCAUAUCAAUAAGCGGAGGAAAAGAAACUAACAAGGAUUCCCCUAGUAACGGCGAGUGAAGCGGGAAGAGCUCAAAUUUGAAAUCUUAAAGGGUUUCCCUUUACGAAUUGUAGUUUAAAGAAGUGUUUUCUGUUGAGGUUUUGGUAAAAGUUCUUUGGAAUAGGACAUCAUAGAGGGUGAGAAUCCCGUAUUUGACCUUUACUUUCAACUUUGUGAUACACUUUCAAAGAGUCGGAUUGUUUGGGAAUGCAGUCCAAAAUGGGUGGUAAAUUUCAUCUAAAGCUAAAUAUUGGCGAGAGACCGAUAGCGAACAAGUACCGUGAGGGAAAGAUGAAAAGAACUUUGAAAAGAGAGUUAAACAGUACGUGAAAUUGUCAAAAGGGAAGCGUUUGACACCAGUGUUGUUUCUCUGAAAAUCAAUUAAAGAACUGUUUAUGCUAAGCUGUUUAGACUUUAUCAGCUAAUCUGUUUAGUUUUGAGCUUUUCUUUAAUGCACCUUUUCAGUUAACAAGUCAACAUCAAUUUCUUUUGCUGAAAAAUAGCUUGAGGAAGGUGGCUUGAGAUUCGUCUUAAGUGUUUAUAGCCUCUUGCCUAUGCAGUCGGAGAGAUUGAGGUCUGCAGCGUAGAUCCUUCGGGGCUAAAUGCAUUUGUGCUAAGUUAUAGCAUUUUAUAGACAACUUGUUGACUAUGAUUUGUCUUGUAGCUUACUCGCUUAUGUUAUUUUACCUACGCUUAGGAUGUUGACGCAUGAGAUAUACGC